ACAACCGUACUGAGUGCAAAACAAACCUCACGUCUCCAAUCUUACCAAUUUAACUUUAAUUAUUGAAGGAUUGCGAUAUCUCCGAUAAUACAGCAUACAUUACUCUUUGGCUAGUUUAUUACAUUUAGCAGUUGUUAACAUAUACCGUAAUGCAUUAGCAAUUGUAACAUCAUAAUGAGCCGGUAACAAACGUUGAGAUUUCAGUGCUUUGGAAAUCGGAUAUGUGCAUGAAUUAAUUUAGUUUGGUUAAUAAAUUGAGUUAAACUUUUCUUUUUGACAAUUGUAUCUAGUAUUUCGUAAGUGAAUUAAUAGAAUAAAAUACAACAGUCGACAUUCCUAGUAUUACUUGUGCAAUAAAAAAUCAUGUUUGAGGAUUGAAAUAUCGUUAUAUUAGUAAAAACUUUAAAGUGUUUAUUAAUAUAAAUUUACAUAAGAUACCUAUGGCUAGUGGCAAAAUUACAGCACUUCUUUAGUAUGGUUGUUUUACUGUUAGAAGCUUAAUAUAAAUAGUGUAUUAAUCGCAAAAAUAUAUAAAAUAAUACUUGGUCAAGGUAUUCGAUCUUCCAAUCGCACGACUAAUCUAAAGUAAUAUAGACGAGUGUAUAAAUGAGCGGGCAUUGCAUUCGGUGCACUCAAAGAAACAAGUUUCAGUACUUUGGUUGCAUUUCUGUACUUUUGAUUUUGAAAUAAAAUGCCUUGCGGAGGUUGCGGUGACAGCUGCAAAUGCACCACUGCCCAGUGCUGCCAAUCAUGCAAAUGUGAUUCAUCAUGCUCUUGCGCAUGCAAGCGAUCCAAGGACGCAGACGCGUCAGCUAAGAAGUAGCAAGUUCAAAUCCAAUUUUGUGCUUUGUAUCCAAAAAUAAAAAUGUGUUUUAGUUUUAAGAAAUAAUUGUUUCCUAUUCAAUAUUUUUUCCUACUCCAGGUGGUUUUUCGAAUAUAGUCGAAACUUGAAUGUAUGUACUUUUCAUACGUUGGGUAAUAAAUAUGUAUUAAAAUA
Molecule: long non-coding RNA, 997 nt
Organism: Pieris rapae (cabbage white)
Lineage: Eukaryota; Metazoa; Arthropoda; Insecta; Lepidoptera; Pieridae
Exons: 2
Source: RefSeq, a predicted model, not a curated record